Fopius arisanus is the source of this 464-nucleotide long non-coding RNA. RefSeq lists it as uncharacterized. Lineage: Eukaryota; Metazoa; Arthropoda; Insecta; Hymenoptera; Braconidae. The transcript is spliced from 2 exons. The record is from RefSeq and is a predicted model, not a curated record.
UGCGAAUCCUAGGAGUAUCGUAGGUCACGUCAAAAAUUUUUGGUCAAGAAAUAAUAGUGGAGGUACAACACCGAGAAUUCUCCACUGUUCCAAAUCUUAGGACUUGUAAGGAGUGUGUUUACGUCUCGAGCACUGAUCCUAUAGUAUGCUAUGCUAUAGCAUAAAGGACGUGGGCCACUAAUCGAACAUGGCGGAUCUCAUGGGGAUAAUCGAAUAUCUGACAUUCGAUCUCGAUUAGUCGAAUAGAUAACUGACAAUUACAUCAGCUGAUUAGCAGAGGGUACGGGCAAAGAGAAUUGACUAAAUAAAAGUAGAGGCUCAGUCAAAGAGGAUUGACUGAAUUUCAUUAGGAGUAUCUUCAAUAUAUUGAAUAAUUUUUUCCAUUUAAAAUUCCACAAGAUGUGACUUCCCCCUUUCGCUCGUCGACUAAAUUUCAGUUAAACGAAUAAAAAACAAAAAGCAUU